UACGGGGGAGCAAGCGUUGUUCGGAUUUACUGGGCGUAAAGGGCGCAGUAGGCGGCGUGACAAGUCACUUGUGAAAUCUCCGGGGCUUAACUCGGAACGGUCAAGUGAUACUGUCGUGCUAGAGUACAGAAGGGGCAACUGGAAUUCUCGGUGUAGCGGUGAAAUGCGUAGAUAUCGAGAGGAACACCUGCGGCGAAGGCGGGUUGCUGGGCUGAUACUGACGCUGAGGCAGCGAAAGGCUAGGGGAGCGAACGGG
RNAcentral lists this ribosomal RNA (256 nucleotides) under uncultured bacterium. RNAcentral's name for it is "partial 16S ribosomal RNA". It matches the Rfam family "Bacterial small subunit ribosomal RNA", at positions 524 to 776 of the family's 1533-position model. The record is from RNAcentral.